Molecule: long non-coding RNA, 707 nt
Organism: Mastomys coucha (southern multimammate mouse)
Lineage: Eukaryota; Metazoa; Chordata; Mammalia; Rodentia; Muridae
Exons: 2
Source: RefSeq, a predicted model, not a curated record
AGGCGUCGACCAUGCCCAUGUGUUUCAACGGAGCUAGGAGCUCAUACUUCUCUUCCACUUUGAACCGAGGCAAAGAUAAAUACAACUCGACCAUAUGCAUGUUUUCUGGUCUUGUCCACUCUAGUAACUUAUCAGCAGUGAGUUGUUCUUCAAGCUAUAAAAGUGGAAGAAAAGAGAUUGCCAUGAUUAACUGAAAUACGUGUCUUAUUUGAAUUUGAUACAUCAGGAAGAAAUCGGAUAAUAGAAGGAAGAAAUGAAGACACAAGCCUUACCUUCUUCAGACCUUCAAUUUCCACUGGCAGCAGGACAAACAUACUUAGCUCUUUGCCUUUGUAUGGUAUUUCCACAAUCUUGGUUUGCACAUUCUCCAGAAAGAUGAAAUUAAAUUUGUUUCUUUGUUUCAUCAUUUGGACAGGUUUACUUGUAUUCUGCAAUAAAUCAGGAUGUCAAAAGCAUAUCAAGGGAGACACAGGAAAGGACAGAUAAUAUUUUACCAAUACAAAACACAUCAACAUCCUUCAGAGAUGAACCUGAUGCUUUGUGAAUCCAGACAAAAGUUUUUUCAGUUACUCCUAUUCAUGUGAGGUUAUAAAAAUAGAACACAUGUUUUAUUUUAUUUUUGACUUCCAUGGCAUUAUUUAUACUUAAACUACCCACACAUCAGAUUUUUCAUUAUGUAAAUAAACUUCCAAUAGUACCUUGUUCAG